AGUACUUGCCAGUUCUUAAAGCUAUAGUGCGUAGUUUCUGUCGCCCCCAUUAGGAAUUCUAAUGACAACCACACUGUCGGAGCGUCCACAUGAUAAAAGCCUUCCGUGAUCGCAAAGAAUUCCGAAAACA
This is a long non-coding RNA of Sander lucioperca (pikeperch), 130 nucleotides long. RefSeq lists it as uncharacterized. The transcript is spliced from 3 exons. Lineage: Eukaryota; Metazoa; Chordata; Actinopteri; Perciformes; Percidae. The record is from RefSeq and is a predicted model, not a curated record.